This 467-nucleotide ribosomal RNA is filed under the name uncultured bacterium. RNAcentral's name for it is "partial 16S ribosomal RNA". It matches the Rfam family "Bacterial small subunit ribosomal RNA", at positions 28 to 507 of the family's 1533-position model. The record is from RNAcentral.
GACGAACGCUGGCGGCGUGCUUAACACAUGCAAGUCGAACGGAAAGGCCCUGCUUUUGUGGGGUGCUCGAGUGGCGAAAGGGUGAGUAACACGUGAGUAACCUGCCCUUGACUUUGGGAUACUUCAGGAAACUGGGGCUAAUACCGGAUAGGAGCUCCUGCUGCAUGGUGGGGGUUGGAAAGUUUCGGCGGUUGGGGAUGGACUCGCGGCUUAUCAGCUUGUUGGUGGGGUAGUGGCUUACCAAGGCUUUGACGGGUAGCCGGCCUGAGAGGGUGACCGGCCACAUUGGGACUGAGAUACGGCCCAGACUCCUACGGGAGGCAGCAGUGGGGAAUAUUGCACAAUGGGCGGAAGCCUGAUGCAGCAACGCCGCGUGCGGGAUGACGGCCUUCGGGUUGUAAACCGCUUUCGCCUGUGACGAAGCGUGAGUGACGGUAAUGGGUAAAGAAGCACCGGCUAACUACGUG